This 253-nucleotide ribosomal RNA is filed under the name uncultured bacterium. RNAcentral describes it as "partial 16S ribosomal RNA". It matches the Rfam family "Bacterial small subunit ribosomal RNA", at positions 524 to 776 of the family's 1533-position model. The record is from RNAcentral.
UACGAAGGGGGCUAGCGUUGCUCGGAAUCACUGGGCGUAAAGGGUGCGUAGGCGGGGCUUUAAGUCAGGGGUGAAAUCCUGGAGCUCAACUCCAGAACUGCCUUUGAUACUGAGGAGCUUGAGUUCGGGAGAGGUGAGUGGAACUGCGAGUGUAGAGGUGAAAUUCGUAGAUAUUCGCAAGAACACCAGUGGCGAAGGCGGCUCACUGGCCCGAUACUGACGCUGAGGCACGAAAGCGUGGGGAGCAAACAGG